Molecule: ribosomal RNA, 620 nt
Filed under: Burkholderia sp. IBa260
Lineage: Bacteria; Pseudomonadati; Pseudomonadota; Betaproteobacteria; Burkholderiales; Burkholderiaceae
Description: bacterial SSU rRNA
Rfam family: Bacterial small subunit ribosomal RNA
Source: RNAcentral
GCAAUGCCGCGUGUGUGAAGAAGGCCUUCGGGUUGUAAAGCACUUUUGUCCGGAAAGAAAUCCUUGGCUCUAAUACAGUCGGGGGAUGACGGUACCGGAAGAAUAAGCACCGGCUAACUACGUGCCAGCAGCCGCGGUAAUACGUAGGGUGCGAGCGUUAAUCGGAAUUACUGGGCGUAAAGCGUGCGCAGGCGGUUUGCUAAGACCGAUGUGAAAUCCCCGGGCUCAACCUGGGAACUGCAUUGGUGACUGGCAGGCUAGAGUAUGGCAGAGGGGGGUAGAAUUCCACGUGUAGCAGUGAAAUGCGUAGAGAUGUGGAGGAAUACCGAUGGCGAAGGCAGCCCCCUGGGCCAAUACUGACGCUCAUGCACGAAAGCGUGGGGAGCAAACAGGAUUAGAUACCCUGGUAGUCCACGCCCUAAACGAUGUCAACUAGUUGUUGGGGAUUCAUUUCCUUAGUAACGUAGCUAACGCGUGAAGUUGACCGCCUGGGGAGUACGGUCGCAAGAUUAAAACUCAAAGGAAUUGACGGGGACCCGCACAAGCGGUGGAUGAUGUGGAUUAAUUCGAUGCAACGCGAAAAACCUUACCUACCCUUGACAUGGUCGGAAUCCUGCUGA